CAAACUCUUACCAGUAGGUUGAGACUCUUAUUCAUGCCUCUUUAUACAGAUUUUCUGGUCUUCUUAAAGUGGUCCUACCACCAUCUUGGUCAAAAGCAAGUCACAAAGCUCUCCCAGUUAGAAGGGGAAGGGAAAUGGACUCCACCUCUUAAAGGGUGGAGCAGCAUGCUUGUAGAAAGGGAGAGGAAUUAUGGAACCAUCUUUGGAGACCAUCUAGCACAAGAAUAUUCUUAAAUAAUUUUCAGAAUGUUAAUUUUGUUUCUCAAUUAGAUUAUAUCACCUAGAAUCCCGAGAUAAUGUAUUUUCUCUAUCUUUUAUGCUUCCACAAAUUGCUCUGGUAACAGCACGCACUUAACAAACAGAUAUUGCUAAGCUGAUAUUAAUGCAAUAGGUCCAAGUUUGAGCAAGUGUGGGGAGAGUAAUUGACUUUUUCACUUGGAGAGAAUCCACAAAAGAGGACAAAGAGAUGGAAAUUUACUUAGAGAACUAUGAGUUUCCAUGAUUUAUCUUGACUUCCAGGGAAUGAUACACACCUUUAAGUUUUCCUUCCUUCCUCCCUUCCCUAAUUUCUUUAUUCUUAUGCCAUCCUAGGUAACCUUAAAUGAUCUCCAGUUUCAGAGGAGAAACGAGGGGAAGUGCUUGAGAUGCUGUGCCACCUCCAUGCGUGUUGCCAUGGUGACAGGAGGAACUGGUUCCUAAGGCCCCAGCCUGCAGACUUACAGAAGGUAAGGAACAAAUCUCAAGGCAAGGAAGGAGCAGCUCCGGGAAGGAAAGAGACAGGUAAGGAGCAACUGGGUAGUCUAACAAGACAAGAGCCGGAGAAGGACUCCCAGACCCAACAGUUGUAGUCAUUUAACACAAAGGUCAAAAGGUCCCAGAUUACAUGUAUGUUCUUUUUGUUUUUCAGAUUUUAUUUAUUUAUUUGAGAGAGAGAAAGAGAGCACAUGUGCAUGAGUGAGGGGGAGGGGCAGAGGGAGAAGCAGACUCCUUGCUGAGUGGGGAUCCUGAUGCAGAACUUGAACCCAGAUCAAGGACCCCUAGAUCAUGACCUGAGCUGAAGGCAGAUGUGUAACUGACUGAGCCACUCAGAUGUCCCUACCUGUAUGUUCUUGAUAAUCCCCGAGUCAUCAGAAAAGACUGUUUGCCGCUCUGUGGUUUUCUGUUUGAAAAGGUAUGAAGGGCAUAACAUGUUUUAGAGAGUUCCUACCAUUUUAAUUUUUCAAAAGAUCUUACUUAUUUAUGUGAGAGACAGAGAGUGAGUGAGUCUAAGCAGGGGCAGGGGCAGAGGGAGAGGGACAAGCAGACUCCUCACUGGGCAGGGAGCCCAAUGCAGGGAUCAUGACCUGGGCCUAAAGCAGGUGCUUAACCAAUUGAGCCACCCAGGGGCCCCCCUACCAUUUUAAUUUUUAAAAACAAGUUUUGGUUGUAGAAAUGAUAAAUUUCACUAACUGGAAAAGCUCUCCACCAAGAUCAUUUUCCUGAAGAUAAUGGAUAGCCCAGAAAUGCUUUUAUAUUGAUUUAGAUGUAGUGGUGUCUGAGAACUUUUUCAGUUUACCACUAAAUGAGGCAGCCUGUGUGUUUUGAUUUUUUUCUGCUUCAGUUUAGCCACAAGAUGGUUUUCGGUGUUGGUGGUAAAGGAGAGAGGGACCUGCCUACAGGAUAGUGAAGCCUGAAGAGGCUGGUCUCAAAGGAGAGGCAUUUUGAGCAUUUAUUCUAGGUGAAAUAUUUUAUGUGGUAAGUAGAUGCUCUCUGGGGUCUCUCUUGACUCAAAGGAUCUAUAACUGCAAGCUUUGUUUCUUUUUUCUUUUUUUUAAUUGCCAUUUAGUUUUAAGUGGUAUCCCAUGGAAUAAAUCUAUUUCUUUAAGUCCUGCUUUUGAGUAGGCAUAUGAUACCAUGGCAUUCUUUAAAAGUUUCAGCCAUUUCAGCCAUAAAUAAUGGCCUAUCUUUACAAGAAUGCCUGGGUCAGCCUGGGUUGUGGCCUAGAGAUGUGUACCACAGUAUCUGCUUCCCUUCCAUGGCAGAGAGUCUUGUCCUAGAAAAUGAUAGUCCAAGAUAGGUCCCAGCUCCUCUAGCAUCUAAGAAUAACCAUAUCAUUAAUUUUCAUCAAUGGAGCAUAAACAGAAGUGGGUGUAUCUUUUCUAGGAUUUUUAGGAAGUGGGUGUGGCUUUUCCAUCUUCACCCUUCAGGUUGGAUAAAGAGAACUCUGCAACACAAGAAGGAAAGCACCUGGGCCUGGAGUUGCCACUGGUUGUUGGGAGUUGGGCCUGGAGUUAUUGGUUAGUGGGAGAAGAGACACUGACCAACUGACCAACCAGUAACGCCUUCACUAGAUUGCUAGGUGGAUGUGGUUUAGAAAUAGUUUCAGGUGGAUAGUGGUUAUAGAGUUAAAUAGCAUUGGCUUGGAUAGACUAUUUCCUUUUUCAUCUGUUUUUUUCCUCAGUAGUGUUUUUCUACUGCGCCAGAUUUUAAUACUUCUCUAAUAUUGCUAUUCUCUCAUUUUAACAAAAAGGAUAACAGGUCCCAGGCUGCAAGUCUUCUGAUUAGCAAAAUAUAGAUUUAUUUUUAUUGUGCUUAUUUUAAGUCAUCUUUUAUUUAUGCAGUAAAUUCCUUUUCUGAUUUUAAUAAGGAAAUAAUUUUCCUUUUAAAUACAUGUAUGUUAAGGAGGAGAGUGAGUUGGUUCAAAAAUAUGUUAAGUGGGUAAUAGUAAGGUUUGUAGUUAUGAUGAAUAAAUUACUGUAGAGAUUCAUUGAUAAAUACAUUAUUAUAGAAUACUACCAUAUUUUUUCCUACAGAUUAUGGUAUUGAGAAUGAGGACUCUUCAUACAAAAUUUAUUAGUAAUAUAACCACCCUAAGAUAGUCAAAUUGUAAGGAUGAUAUAUUCUACUCUGAUAAAGUAAAUUUUAUUUAAAUCCUCAGGAUACAUUUUUUCUUUCAGCCUGUCCUCAAUUUGUUCAAUGACUUUUAUUAAAAACAACUUUAUUGGGAACCCUGGGUGGCGCAGCGGUUUAGCGCCUGCCUUUGGCCCAGGGCGCGAUCCUGGAGACCCGGGAUCGAAUCCCACGUCGGGCUCCCGGUGCAUGGAGCCUGCUUCUCCCUCUGCCUAUGUCUCUGCCUCUCUCUCUCUCUGUGUGACUAUCAUAAAUAAAUAAAAAUUAAAAAAAAACAACUUUAUUG
RNAcentral lists this long non-coding RNA (3175 nucleotides) under Canis lupus familiaris (dog). Its description in RNAcentral is "lncRNA (ENSCAFG00030014670.1)". The record is from RNAcentral. Lineage: Eukaryota; Metazoa; Chordata; Mammalia; Carnivora; Canidae.